This 265-nucleotide signal recognition particle RNA is filed under the name Eubacteriales bacterium. RNAcentral's name for it is "signal recognition particle sRNA large type". It matches the Rfam family "Bacterial large signal recognition particle RNA". Rfam says of the family: The signal recognition particle (SRP) is a universally conserved ribonucleoprotein involved in the co-translational targeting of proteins to membranes. Archaeal SRP consists of a 7S RNA and homologues of the eukaryotic SRP19 and SRP54 proteins. Lineage: Bacteria; Bacillati; Bacillota; Clostridia; Eubacteriales. The record is from RNAcentral.
CUGCACUAGUUGGGGAGUUAGCGGUGCCCUGUAACCUGCAAUCCGCUACAGCAGGAAUGAAUUCCUCACAGAGGGUGUGUUGUGUAUCGUCUGCCUCCGGUAAGCAGCGUUGACGAUCCGGUCUCGCGCAACGGAAACCCGUGAACCAUGUCAGGCGGGGAACCGAGCAGCAUUAAGCGGUGCUUUUCGUGUGCCGUGAGGCUGCCGGGUCUGAGCCGGCUGCCGGGGUCCCGGAUAUACAUCAUUUUCAAUGUGAAGUGUGCAG